GUGGGGAAUAUUGGACAAUGGGCGAAAGCCUGAUCCAGCCAUGCCGCGUGUGUGAAGAAGGUCUUCGGAUUGUAAAGCACUUUAAGUUGGGAGGAAGGGCAGUAAGUUAAUACCUUGCUGUUUUGACGUUACCGACAGAAUAAGCACCGGCUAACUUCGUGCCAGCAGCCGCGGUAAUACGAAGGGUGCAAGCGUUAAUCGGAAUUACUGGGCGUAAAGCGCGCGUAGGUGGUUUUGUAAGUUGGAGGUGAAAUCCCCGGGCUCAACCUGGGAACUGCCUCAAAAACUGCAUGACUAGAGUACGGUAGAGGGUAGUGGAAUUUCCUGUGUAGCGGUAAAAUGCGUAGAUAUAGGAAGGAACACCAGUGGCGAAGGCGACUACCUGGACUGAUACUGACACUGAGGUGCGAAAGCGUGGGGAGCAAACAGGAUUAGAUACCCCGGUAGUCC
Molecule: ribosomal RNA, 450 nt
Filed under: uncultured bacterium
Lineage: Bacteria
Description: partial 16S ribosomal RNA
Rfam family: Bacterial small subunit ribosomal RNA
Source: RNAcentral